This 64-nucleotide transfer RNA is filed under the name Heterocypris spadix. RNAcentral describes it as "tRNA-Glu". Lineage: Eukaryota; Metazoa; Arthropoda; Ostracoda; Podocopida; Cyprididae. The record is from RNAcentral.
AUUUUUAUGGUGUAGAAACACACUUCGUUUUCAUUGAAGAGCCAAGCCUUAGGCUUUAGAAAUA